CAGCUGAUUGUUCGGGAAGCAAUUCCUGGGUAACCAAGCCAACGCGUGAAGCUGACCGCCUGGGAAGUACGGUCGCAAGAUUAAAACUCAAAGGAAUUGACGGGGACCCGCACAAGCGGUGGAUGAUGUGGAUUAAUUCGACGCAACGCGAAAAACCUUACCUAGCCUUGACAUGUCAGGAACCCGGAUGAAAGUCUGGAGUGCCCGCAAGGGAGCCUGAACACAGGUGCUGCAUGGCUGUCGUCAGCUCGUGUCGUGAGAUGUUGGGCUAAGUCCCGCAACGAGCGCAACCCUAGUCAUCAGUUGCUACGCAAGAGCACUCUGAUGAGACCGCCGGUGACAAACCGGAGGAAGAUGGGGAUGACGUCAAGUCCUCAUGGCCCUUACGGCUAGGACCUCACACGUCAUAUAAUGGUCGGAACAGAGGGCAGCGAAGCCGGGAGGCGGAGCUAAUCCCAGAAAACCGAUCGUAGUCCGGAUUGCAGUCUGCAACUCGACUGCAUGAAGUCGGAAUCGCUAGUAAUCGCGGAUCAGCAUGCCGCGGUGAAUACGUUUCCCGGUUCUUGUACACACCGCCCGUCACACCAUGGGAGUGGGGUUUGCCAGAAGGCGUUUGUCCAACCGCAAGGAGGACGGCGACCACGGUGGGUUCAAUGACUGGGGCGAAGUCGUAACAAGGUAUC
RNAcentral lists this ribosomal RNA (683 nucleotides) under uncultured bacterium. RNAcentral describes it as "bacterial SSU rRNA". It matches the Rfam family "Bacterial small subunit ribosomal RNA", at positions 813 to 1500 of the family's 1533-position model. The record is from RNAcentral.